RNAcentral lists this unclassified non-coding RNA (562 nucleotides) under Hevea brasiliensis (rubber tree). Lineage: Eukaryota; Viridiplantae; Streptophyta; Magnoliopsida; Malpighiales; Euphorbiaceae. The record is from RNAcentral.
AAAAGCCUUGCAGCCCUUCAAGCUGCAAGAAAUAGAACGUCAGUGUUUCAAAAGGAUAAGAUGCCAAAUAUCAAGAAUCAUGAAUAACAACAAUUAGUGAAAAAUAAUUUAUGCUUUUAGCUAUAAAAGAGACUGUAAAACCAGAAGAAGGAAGUUACCGAAAUUUAUUAUUUACAAUAAAGAUACUAGUAGAAUGAUCACUCUAAGAAUAUCCAGAACAAAUAAUUUAUGUCAGCAUUGUCAGUGAAUCUUGCAAUUCAUAUGAUCAAAGAAGAUUUCAAAACUUUGGAAGCAUUUUGAGAAUAGUUAUGCCAUCUACAAACAGUUCAGGCCAUUGGGGGUCACUGCACGUACAAUAUUUAACAUUCAAAAUUCUUGAUUCCUUUUGUUUAAUUAUUUUUGAAAAUUCAGUUCAUAUGUCACCGGAAAACUGGUUCAUAUGUGGAUAUAUGUGCCCAGCAAAUUGCCAAAAUAGUUAGUAAACAUCUAAAAGUUUGAAGAUAAACUUACGUACUAUGGAAUGAAAUAAGUCAAUUACCUUAAGAAGUAGACAGCGGAAACG